UGUGGGAUUUCUUCAAUAAACCAACCGAAAGACCUGGCUCAGGGAUCGGAAACACUUUGUGGGAGAAAAGUAAUUUUUUACAGUACUUUUACAAAAAACGCCUUUCCAAGAACCUCGUGAGAAAAAAAAAAUCCUAUUUCUUUCUAAAUUCACGCCAGAGAGAUUUUACACCAUCGCCGUCUUAAAAGCUGAUGCAACACGACACAGAAAUACUGAUAUUUCCACUAUUACCUGUAAAAUAUCCUGGCUUGAAUUAUAACAAAGUUAUAAUUCAAGCCAGGAUCUCUCAGUGUAUAGACAGACCGUCCUUACCAAAUGCCAUCGAAAUCGGAUACAUUACAUGGGCUGACAAGGAAAUGGUCGAAAUGUAUUACUCCGCGAAUGUCUCUCUCUCUCUCCUUACGACACAUCGCUAUCCACAUCCGACUUCUACCUCAUAUAAAUUUCGCCUUCGUGAGCCACGCUACGUGUUUAUUGGCCAAUACGUCACAGAAUCAGUCAUGGCAUAUUUAUUAUCAAGCUAUAGUCAGCUUUACGUACAACUGGUCUUCGUUCCGCGGAUGAAAAGAAAUCCUUGUGCUAAUUGGUCAUUAUACUGACUAGAAGAGGUCCUCGUGCUGCUAUCUCUCGAUCACAGCCGGUACUAAUGUAAUAUCUCCGCAGCACUGGGGCAUGUCACGUGACGUCAAGGCCGACAGCGCUGGCUGUGGGUCUGGGAACUCUGCCGAAUUAUGAAGUGGAACGACUGUUUGAUUGUGCUAAUGGAGUCUUGGCGUGAUCUUUGCAGUUGUCGAGGACAAAAUGAAGGAAAAUGAAGGAGAGAAGAGAGGAAGGAUACGAAAAAGGUUUCACGCAAGUGCGUGAGUCACGUAAUGGAUGAGACGCAACAUCAUGGACCUUCAACGAGGAACGUCUGUCUGUCGACCCGAAACCAUCAACGGAUUUCAACGAAAAUUCGAUUUGGAGAGAUUUACCAUUAGAAAUUGUAGUGAGAAUAUCUUAUUUUGAUUUAGAUAUAUCGAAAACAUUUCAUCACAGAAAAAUAGUCAUACAACGUACACGAGGAGCAUUCCAAAAGCAAUUUCAAUUAAGUUUCUGGUGUGUUAAUAAUAUCUGAGUCCUUGACGAGAAGCUAAUAGUCGCUCAGCUAGUCAAAGACUCCCACAUUGCCUUACAGGAAACCUGAAGUUCAUUACCGUAUCCACUGGUCCCUAUUUCGGAACAGAUCAACUCAAUUCACAUCGUCACAAUCUCAUAUAUAUCUCUAAGAUCUAUUUUAAUAUCAUCCUAUAAUCUGCGUUUAGGUAUCCUUCGGAUUUUCCGACUAAAUUUUUUUUUUUUGGAAAAUUUUCCAUCCCUCCCAUGCCCUUAUAUCUCGCAGAUUUUCUCAUCUUACUGAUAAUUUGGUGAAACAUUCAUCUUAUACGCUAAUCGUUAUGCAAUCUUCUCCAGCCUCCUGUUACGUCUUCCUACUCAGGUUCACGUUCUUCUCAACAGCUUCGUGUUACGAAAUGUUCUCGAUACAGAACUUGCAUGGCGUCCAAACAAUAUCAGAGGGCGACUACUGCUUAAAAAUUAAGAACACAGGUAGAAAGAUACGAGAGAAAAGAAAACUGUUCGUAUUAUGUAGAGCGUAUUUGAAACUUAUAAAUACUUAAUACACGAAAAACGAAAGCAUUUCCUUCAACUUGUUUAUUACUGUCAAUAAAAUUCACUAUUGACUAA
This is a long non-coding RNA of Zootermopsis nevadensis, 1725 nucleotides long. RefSeq lists it as uncharacterized. Lineage: Eukaryota; Metazoa; Arthropoda; Insecta; Blattodea; Termopsidae. The record is from RefSeq and is a predicted model, not a curated record.